Molecule: ribosomal RNA, 498 nt
Filed under: uncultured bacterium
Lineage: Bacteria
Description: partial 16S ribosomal RNA
Rfam family: Bacterial small subunit ribosomal RNA
Source: RNAcentral
GACGAACGCUGGCGGCGUGCCUAAUACAUGCAAGUCGAGCGGACGAAUCGAAAGCUUGCUUUUGAUUCGUCAGCGGCGGACGGGUGAGUAACACGUGGGCAACCUGCCCUGUAGACGGGGAUAACACCGAGAAAUCGGUGCUAAUACCGGAUAACACUAAAUGUCGCAUGACGUUUCGUUGAAAGACGGCGCAAGCUGUCGCUACAGGAUGGGCCCGCGGCGCAUUAGCUAGUUGGUGAGGUAACGGCUCACCAAGGCGACGAUGCGUAGCCGACCUGAGAGGGUGAUCGGCCACACUGGGACUGAGACACGGCCCAGACUCCUACGGGAGGCAGCAGUAGGGAAUCUUCCGCAAUGGACGAAAGUCUGACGGAGCAACGCCGCGUGAGCGAAGAAGGCCUUCGGGUCGUAAAGCUCUGUUGUUAGGGAAGAACAAGUAACGCAGUAACUGGCGUUACCGUGACGGUACCUAACGAGAAAGCCACGGCUAACUACGUG